Molecule: small RNA, 2706 nt
Filed under: Histoplasma capsulatum G186AR
Lineage: Eukaryota; Fungi; Ascomycota; Eurotiomycetes; Onygenales; Ajellomycetaceae
Description: hypothetical RNA
Source: RNAcentral
CAGGUUUUGAUGACUUGAGGAGCUUGUCGACAGAAGCACAAGAAACGGACACAAGGACUACGAUGGCAAUUACCACGACGCCUGCGUGCUUUCUUCAAUAAACCAAAUACGGAAACGUGGGGCAAAGAGGAAAGAAAGAAAAACACAUCCAUUGCUCUUGAGUUUAUAUCAACCGACAACCCAACAACUUAUUCACCCAGCGCGCCUCUGAUCCUCCGAUCGUUUCGUCGCUUCGUUUGGUCUGGGUUCGGCCAGUGAAACGGAAGGAAAGAAACGGGGGGAGAGGAGAUAUUUCCAUCCUCCCUCCCACACUGAAAGAAGGAAAAGAAAAAGGAACGAACCCAACGGCCCAUCCCCCCUCCCUACCUACAUGCCACCGCGAACGGCUGGCCGACCACCACCAAGCUCCGCAACGUAACGAGAAAACAAGAAAAAAAAACAUAAUCCCCUUUCUCCUAUCCAGGCCGCUCUUUUUCUCAUCCCCACGCACGCGCCGGGAGAAUAGGAGAGCGAGAAUAAAGAGGGGACUGGAGAGAAAGCAUACAUACUGCAUCAGUUUACGACUUUAUACGGGGAACGCAAAACGCGACAGGGAUAUUGGAUUUGUGAAUUCGUUUGCGAACGAAUCGCCUUGUCUGAAUUAAAUCCCUUCGAUAGAUAUAUAAGUUACUCUUAUACGAAUACCGUCAUUCUUUCCCCCCCGCCUCUGAAUUUCUCGCAUUAAGGGCGAGGGGCUCCUUUUGUAAAAACAAUUAAAGCAGGCGAAAAAAAAGUAAGCGAAGAGGGAAAAAGGAGAAUAGAGGAGGGGGAUUCAGGAUGCAAUUUACGGAGGAACAGGCGGCGGAGGUUAAGGCAUGGGUUGUCAAGAGGUUGGAGGAUAUAUCUGAUGCGGACUCGGACGUAUUGGCCGAUUAUGUACUGGCCUUGAUCCGGUCCGAUGCCCCCGAUGAAGAUAUCCGGAAGGCUUCUGUGGAGAAUUUGGAGGAUUUUUUGAAAGAGAAUACCAUCGCCUUCGUCGACGAGAUCUUUACCAAAUUCAAUCCUAAGCCUCAGCUUGUUCAAGCCCAAGUUCAACCAACCACCCACCAACAACCUCCGGAAUCCGCCGUCGUUACGGCAGUCGCUCCACCACAGGAACAAACCAUCCCCUCCGAUACGAUGUCCAGGGCCCCAUUUGGCCACGGACAAACCAAUGUAAGACCCAACCCGCUAGCCACAGGCGGCUUUGAAAGCACCGGCAGAUCGAGCUUCUCCAGAAAACGUGCCUUCAACGAAGGACCACAGGCUGGCGACGACCAUGAUCUACAUUAUAACCGCGCGGAUCGGCCGUUUAAAUCCAUGCGAGGUCGCCGUGGUGGGCGCGGGGAUAGUCGCGUGCUUGUAAAUAAUAAUAACAAUCACAACAACAACAUUAGCAAUGGGCGAAUGGGCCCCGCACAUCUAAACCACCAGCAGCAGCAACAGCAGCAACCGCAGCAACCGGCCGGCGGCGGGUUCCAAGGAAUGGCUCCUGUUGCUACCUCAGCUGGGUUUCCUCCCUUCAACCCCAGCGAUCCCAUUGCUGCCAUGAUGACGCUACAGGCAGCCAUGGGGUUUCCACAAAUCCCUGGCAUGCCCCCACUCCCUCAUCUGCCCGCUUCGACGGGCACGCCGGGCUCCAGCCAGCCGUCGGCGAGCACAUCGCCGGCGCCUGGUAGUAUUCCCCAAAGAUGCGUGGAUUAUGAUACACAAGGCUUUUGUGUGUUGGGGAGUACAUGUCCGUAUCAGCAUGGGACAGAUCAUUUAGUAGCACCAGCGAGGGAUGACGAAUAUGACCCUACGAAGUCAAAUCUUGUCUUGGAUAGACCGCUUGGUGGUACAAAUGGCCACAGCUUAGCGGGAGCUUCUCGGGCUGGUGAUAAAGGCGGGCGUGGCCGUAGUCGCGGUAGGGGAGAUCGAGGCGGUUUCACGGGCCCCCGACGGAAUCGCGCUGAAUUUUCGCAGGCCGGGCCAAAUGAGGAUAGAUCGAUUACCACGAUUGUCGUCGAGCAGAUCCCAGAGGAUAAGUUUGACGAGGCCAUCGUGCGCGAGUUCUUUUCUGAGUUUGGCAAUAUUGUCGAGGUUACUAUGCAACCAUAUAAACACUUGGCCCUUGUGAAAUACGACAGCUGGGCAGCGGCACGUCGUGCUUGGGCAAGUCCGAAAGUCAUCUUCGACAACCGGUUUGUGAAAGUUUAUUGGUAUAAGCCGGGAUCGAAAUCUGAGACAAAUGGAGCCGGUGAUCAUCACCAUCCCGACAAAUCGGACGAAAAGCCUUUCGAUUCGCAGGAAUUCGAGAAGCAACAAGCCGAAGCGCAAAGACAGCACGAGGAAAAGAUGAAGAAACGAAAGGAGACCGAAGAGGCAAGACUAGCGCUUGAGAAGCAGAAGGAGGAUCUGUUGAAGAGGCAACAGGAGGAGAAGGCGAGGUUACUCCAGCGGCUCGGCUCGCAGCAGCCGCAUGAAGCGGAUGGAACGAAUGGCACCUCGCCUGCGGCCGCUGAUUCGGAUACGAUAAGAGCGUCAUCAUCGUCUUCUCACCCUGACGAAAAUGUUAGCGAGCAGACGAAGAUGUUGCGUGCGCAGCUGGCGGCGCUUGAGGCGGAGGCUAAAAGUCUAGGCUUGGACCCGGCGUUAUCGGAUCCGCAAUACCCGCCCCGGGGCCGUGGCAGGGGUUGGGCUGGGUAU